AACGAACGCUGGCGGCAUGCCUAAUACAUGCAAGUCGAACGAGACCACCGGGUCCAGUGGCGCAUGGGUGCGUAACGCGAGGGAACCUGCACUUAGGUUCGGCAUAACUCUCCGACAGGGGUGCUAAUACCGGAUAAUGUCUUAGGACCAAAGAUUUAUUGACCUUGGAUGGGCCCGCGUUGGAUUAGCUAGUUGGUAGGGUAAAAGCCUACCAAGGCGACGAUCCAUAGGUUGUCUGAGAGGAUGCUUAGCCACACUGGGACGGGGACACGGCCCAGACUCCUACGGGAGGCAGCAGUGGGGAAUGUUGGACAAUGGGCUAAAGCCUGAUCCAGCAAUGCCGCGAGAGUGAUGAAGGCCUUAGAGUUGUAAAGCGCUUUUACCCGGGAUGAUAAUGACAGUACCGAGAGAAUAAGCUCCGGCUAACUCCGUG
Molecule: ribosomal RNA, 433 nt
Filed under: uncultured bacterium
Lineage: Bacteria
Description: partial 16S ribosomal RNA
Rfam family: Bacterial small subunit ribosomal RNA
Source: RNAcentral